RNAcentral lists this transfer RNA (83 nucleotides) under uncultured archaeon. Its description in RNAcentral is "tRNA-Ser(cga)". It matches the Rfam family "tRNA". Rfam says of the family: Transfer RNA (tRNA) molecules are approximately 80 nucleotides in length. Their secondary structure includes four short double-helical elements and three loops (D, anti-codon, and T loops). The record is from RNAcentral.
UGCUCACAUGGCACAAUGGUACUGCAAUGGUCUCGAACACCAUGCCCUCACGGGCUUCCCGGUCCGAUUCCGGGUGUGAGCGU